AACGAACGCUGGCGGCGUGCCUAACACAUGCAAGUCGAACGGAGAUAAGGGGCUUGCUCCUUAUUUUAGUGGCGCACGGGUGAGUAACACGUGGAUAAUCUACCCGAUGAUCUGGGAUAACAUUUCGAAAGGGAUGCUAAUACCGGAUAAGCCCACGAUGUCUUCGGACAAUGUGGGAAAAGGUGGGGACGGUUUCGGCCCUCGCCUUUUGAUAAGCCCGCGUCCCAUUAGCUAGUUGGUAGUGUAAUGGACUACCAAGGCUAUGAUGGGUAGCUGGUCUGAGAGGAUGAUCAGUCACACUGGAACUGAGACACGGUCCAGACUCCUACGGGAGGCAGCAGUGGGGAAUAUUGCGCCAUGGGCGAAAGCCUGACGCAGCAACGCCGCCUGGGUGAUGAAGGCUCUCGGGUCGUAAAUCCCUGUCAGAGGGAAUAACAACCUGUCGUUUAAUAUGCGGCAGGCCUGACGGUACCCUCAGAGGAAGCACCGGCUAACUCCGUGCCAGCAGCCGCGGUAAUACGGAGGGUGCAAGCGUUGUUCGGAAUUAUUGGGCGUAAAGCGCGUGUAGGCGGUUGUCUAAGUCUGAUGUGAAAGCCCCGGGCUUAACCUGGGAAGUGCAUUGGAAACUGAAAGACUUGAGUACGGGAGAGGAAAGCGGAAUUUCGAGUGUAGGGGUGAAAUCCGUAGAUAUUCGAAGGAACACCAGUGGCGAAGGCGGCUUUCUGGACCGAUACUGACGCUGAGACGCGAGAGCGUGGGGAGCAAACAGGAUUAGAUACCCUGGUAGUCCACGCCGUAAACGAUGGGCACUAGUUGUAGCGGGUAUUGACCCCUGCUGUGACGAAGCUAACGCAUUAAGUGCCCCGCCUGGGGAGUACGGCCGCAAGGCUAAAACUCAAAGGAAUUGACGGGGGCCCGCACAAGCGGUGGAGCAUGUGGUUUAAUUCGACGAAACGCGAAGAACCUUAACUGGGCUUGACAUCCCGAUCGUACCUUAUGGAAACACUAGGGUCAUUGAGAGAAUUUGGUGACAGGUGCGGCAUGGCUGUCGUCAUCUCGGUUCUUGAGAUGUUGGGUUAAGUCCCUCAACGAGCGCAACCCUCGCCAUUAGUUGCCAGCAUUAAGUUGGGCACUCUAAUGGGACUGCCGGUGUCAAACCGGAGGAAGGCGGGGAUGACGUCAAGUCCUCAUGGCCUUUAUGACCAGGGCUACACACGUACUACAAUGGCCGGUACAACGGGCAGCCACUUCGCGAGAAGGAGCAAAUCCCUAAAAGCCGGUCUCAGUCCGGAGUGGAGUCGGCAACGCGACGCCAUGAAGGUGGAAUCGCUAGUAAUCGUGGAUCAGCAUGCCGCGGUGAAUACGUUCCCGGGCCUUGUACACACCGCCCGUCACACCACGGGAGUUGGUUGUACCAGAAGCGGUUGAGCUAACCUUCGGGAGGCAGGCCGCCAAGGUAUGGCUGGUAACUGGGGUGAAGUGGUG
This 1485-nucleotide ribosomal RNA is filed under the name uncultured prokaryote. Its description in RNAcentral is "partial 16S ribosomal RNA". It matches the Rfam family "Bacterial small subunit ribosomal RNA". The record is from RNAcentral.